RNAcentral lists this ribosomal RNA (177 nucleotides) under Triticum aestivum (bread wheat). Its description in RNAcentral is "partial small subunit ribosomal RNA". Lineage: Eukaryota; Viridiplantae; Streptophyta; Magnoliopsida; Poales; Poaceae. The record is from RNAcentral.
AUGAAGAUACCUCUUAAGAAUAAAAUCUUUGUAUGGUAUCUUCAUCGCGGAGUCAUUUUUACUAAAGAUAACCUUAUUAAGAGGAAUUGGCAUGGAAGCCCGCAAUGUGUAUUUUGUCACCAUGAGGAGACAAUAAAACAUUUAUUCUUUCAAUGUAAAUUGGCUCGUUCUAUAUAA